AGCAGCCGCGGUAAUUCCAGCUCCAAUAGCGUAUAUUAAAGUUGUUGCAGUUAAAAAGCUCGUAGUUGAAUUUCGGGGUUCAUCCGUUGGUCGGGCUUUUUUGGUCUGUACUGGCGUGAUGGAUUCCUACCUUCUGAAUAACCGGCAUGUCAUUAAUUUGGUGCGCUGGGGAAGCAGGACUGUUACCUUGAAAAAAUUAGAGUGCUUAAAGCAGGCUAUCGCCUGAAUACAUUAGCAUGGAAUAAUGAAAUAGGACGGCAUGGUUCUAUUUUGUUGGUUUCUAGGAUCACCGUAAUGAUUAAUAGGGAUAGUUGGGGGCAUUAGUAUUCAAUUGUCAGAGGUGAAAUUCUUGGAUUUAUUGAAGACUAACUUCUGCGAAAGCAUUUGCCAAGGAUGUUUUCAUUAAUCAAGAACGAAAGUUAGGGGAUCGAAGACGAUCAGAUACCGUCGUAGUCUUAACCAUAAACUAUGCCGACUAGGGAUCGGACGAUGUAAUUUUUAAUGACUCGUUCGCGCCUUA
This 520-nucleotide ribosomal RNA is filed under the name uncultured Glomeromycotina. RNAcentral's name for it is "SSU rRNA". It matches the Rfam family "Eukaryotic small subunit ribosomal RNA", at positions 569 to 1090 of the family's 1831-position model. Lineage: Eukaryota; Fungi; Glomeromycota. The record is from RNAcentral.